AGAGAAAGAUGCUACUACAAAUGAUGCUACAUAAAUUGUUUUGGACAGAAACUAACCUACUGGGAUAUGCCAGGGGGUGACUUACCUCAUCCA
Molecule: non-coding RNA, 93 nt
Organism: Ceratotherium simum simum (southern white rhinoceros)
Lineage: Eukaryota; Metazoa; Chordata; Mammalia; Perissodactyla; Rhinocerotidae
Source: RefSeq, a predicted model, not a curated record